Molecule: long non-coding RNA, 2446 nt
Filed under: Homo sapiens (human)
Lineage: Eukaryota; Metazoa; Chordata; Mammalia; Primates; Hominidae
Description: HSALNT0112960
Source: RNAcentral
GAACUUUUAAACUGCAGAGGAUUUAAGGAGUUAAGCACAAAAUGUCUCUGAGGAAGCCUUCCCUGAGUAUGAAUGGGUCUGGGUGUGGGUGUGUGAAUCAACCCUAACAAACUGAAAACAAUACCGGGUGAUUUCUAAAAAUUAGCAACUCUUUUCAGGCAUCACUGAAUAACCUCACAAAUGAUUUGCACUACUGCUAACAACACCUGCAUCUAGCUAAUCAGCUGACCAUGAGAUGCAGAGAUUAUCUGGAAUUAUCCAGAUUGGUCCAUUUAAUUACAUGAGUCCUUAAAAGUGGAAAGUGGAAGAAGAGGCAGAAGAGUGUGUCAGAGAGAUGCUGUGUGAAAAGGACUCAACCUGCCACUUGAGGCUUUGAGGCUGGAGAAAGGGGCCAUGAACCAAGGAUUGUGAGCAGCCUGUAAAAUCUGGAAAAGACAAGGCAAUACCCUUUGCUGUCUCAGGGUCAAACAUGCAACUCCUGCCUGCUUGUAUGGCCAGCUGGGUUCAAGAAGGAAGGAACCUCAUUGUUGACAGUUACCAGAUGAAUGUGCCCCUUCUGUACAGCUAAGAAAUGGAAUAGACAUUGGUAACCUUCCACAGGCCCACACAUGUGUUAUCAGCCAUACCUUAGGACAGAAGGAAUGAGUUUGCAGAAAGGAUGCCCUACAACCAUACUGAGAAUUUAGCCCUGGGGACAUCUUCCGAUAUAAUCUGGCAUAGAAGAGUGGUUAUCACACCUUUAGCAUGGAUAGAAAUGCAAAACAAUAUUUGUAAUAGUCUGUGCUCACGCUGCUAUAAGGACAUACCCAAGACUAGGAAAGAGCCACAGAUUUGCUUCUUCCUAGCAAGGGCGUGAUACUAAUUCCAGAUCCAUCCAAAUAUUGUUCACUGCUUCUUAGACAGAGACCCCUUUCUCCCAGGACCCUUGAGACACCUUUGCUGUGAAUAAUGGAGAAGCAAAAGGAGUUACUAAUGAAGACAAACUAAACCUGAGAACAGAGAGAGCCUAACUAUGUGCUCCAGAAGUGCCAUGUGUGUCUAAGGUAGGUCCAAAGGUAUGAGUCUAGAGAUAUUAUGUAUAAAACACCUAAUUGAAUGUCAAAAAAUCCAUAGAAGCUUAAUAAUUGGUAGCAAUUAUUAUUACUCAUUAGUGUGGGGGCUGGGAAGAUGACAACAGAGUAUAACUUGGAGGGUUGGUGUAGAGCAAUUAGCUAGCAACUGUAGUUUGAAUUUCCAUGAAGUAGUUCCCUUAAUUGUGUACACACAAACACAUCAAAACUGAAACCACAGCUAUGUGAUUUAAUAAUGUUGCACGUUUAGACAUGAUACAAGGCACUUUUGCCUACAUUAUCUUUCUGUGAGUUUAACAUUAGACCUGGUAUAAUUAUCCUAAAUUUACUACUAGAGAAUUUAGUUUGAAAAGUCAUGCAACUUUUCUAAAGAAUUUUUUCUGAUUUAAUAACACCAAUCAAUGAAUUAAUCAAUCAACUGUUCUGGCCAUUAAAUGUGUGAGAAAAAAAAGUCAGUGUAUUAAUUAUAAUUAUAUACCGAGACUUGGCUCUGUGUGUUUCACAAAAUAAGUAUAAAGUAUCAAAUUUGUUAUAAAUGUGUGACCCAUUAAAAGAAAAAAAAACUUGAUAGAUGUGUAUUUGGUAACAGCUUUUUAGAAAAUUUUUUGAACAUUUAUGAUGUUCAGAAAAGAACAGUGAUCAGUGUGCUAAAUUAAAUUACUUGAAUAAAUUAUGGAGAAAAAGUUCUGAUUUUUGUGCAAGGUUUGCAUUCUGGAUUGAGGUCCAGUUCUUUUUGAAGUAUCUGAAAUCAAACAUAUAUUUCCAAACCCUGAGGACUGAUUUCCUUCUGAAGACCACCCUCUCUUCUAUUUGAGGAACUCCAUAUUCCUUCUUGUAACACUACUCUGAUUCUAUAUCAAGCAAUCUUGGCCUUGUUAAGAUAAGAAAGUUGCCUUAAGCACUUUCCAAAGCUUUCCUACAUUCACUGUUGGUGGAUGGUGUCCCUACCCUACUUGUUCCCCUGCAGAACCUCAGAUUGGAGAUAUAAGGGGUGAAAUAACAGCCAAGUACCUCAGAGCUAAGUACUUUACAUAUAACUCAUUUAAUCCUCACAGCAUUGCUAUGGAACAAGUACUAUUAUUCAUCCCAGUUUACAGAUAGAAACUAAGGCAGAGAAAGGUUAAAUAAUCAAAGUUUACCUACUAGAUAACAGAGUGGGGGUAGAAACCAAGCCAUUCUGGCUUUUCCUGCUUGUAACACCAGGGUGGUAAAGGUGAAAAUUUGGGUUCAUUCUCACAGAGAAGAGGUUAUUAAGGCUCAGACUGGACAGAUAGCAUGGGAAUGAUGAGCAAGCAGGAAAUUUAAGAGUCAGAUCUUAGAAAAAUAUGACAAAGCCUAGAGACUGGCAACUGACAUGAUCUGAGAAAAGUGAGGAG